This 495-nucleotide ribosomal RNA is filed under the name uncultured bacterium. RNAcentral describes it as "partial 16S ribosomal RNA". It matches the Rfam family "Bacterial small subunit ribosomal RNA", at positions 29 to 523 of the family's 1533-position model. The record is from RNAcentral.
AAUGAACGCUGGCGGCAGGCCUAACACAUGCAAGUGGAGCGACGAACCCGGACUUGUCCGGGGGCAAAGCCGCGAACGGGUGAGUAACACGUGGAUUAUCUGCCCCAAUGACCGGGACAACUCGAGGAAACUCGAGCUAAUACCGGAUGUGCUCUUCGGAGGAAAGGAAGCUUCGGCCUCCGCAUUGGGAUGAGUCCGCGGUGCAUUAGCUAGUUGGUGGGGUAAAAGCCUACCAAGGCGACGAUGCAUAGCUGGUCUGAGAGGACGAUCAGCCACACUGGAACUGAGACACGGUCCAGACUCCUACGGGAGGCAGCAGUGGGGAAUCUUGCGCAAUGCACGAAAGUGUGACGCAGCAACGCCGCGUGCGGGAAGAAGGUCUUCGGAUCGUAAACCGCUUUCAGUUGGGACGAGGGUUACACGGUGAAUAGCCGGCGUAACUGACGGUACCUUCAGAAGAAGCCCCGGCUAACUACGUGCCAGCCGCCGCGGUAA